CCACUUGAAGAUCAGACUUCAGCAGAAUCAGCAUCAGUCAUGGCCACAUACAUGGACGUGUCUUUCCAGAGCAGCUUCAAGACUCAACAUGUUCAACACGCAAGAUGCGUUCUCACGUGUUUGGAGAGAAAGUGUGGCAGCAGCUUGGAGAAGCUCAGAUGUGCUGUCGGAGAGUAUCUUCAGGCCUCAGAUCUGCUGGAGAGAGCCGUGUCUUUCCUCACGCUCAGAAGAGUCUUACUGUCUCAUGACGGAUACUCCAAAUAUUCCAGAGAAAUCCUGCGGCUGUUUCCCGACCAUGCAGAGGAUGUAGCAGCGUUACUGUCUGAAGAAUGAACACCGGAUACUGAAACACUCAGACUGAACAUCAAGAAGCCUUUAAAGAAAUGUACAGUUGAAGUCAGAAUAAUUCGCCCUCCUGUGAAAUAUUUCCUAAAUGAUGUUUAACAGAGCAAGGAAUUUCUCACAGUAUUUCCUAUAAUAUUUUUUCUUCUGGAGAAAGUCUUAUUUCUUUUAUUUUGGCUAGAAUAAAAGCAGUUUUAAAUUUUUUAAACACAAUUUUAAGGUCCAAAUUUUUAGCCCCCUUAAGCAAUAUUUGCUUUCUAUUAUCUACAGUACAAACCCCUGUUGUACAAUGACUUGCCUAAUUAACCUAAUUAAGCCUUUAAGUGCCACUUUAAGCUGAAUACUAGUAUCUGAAUAUCUAGUCAAAUAUUAUUUACUGUCAUUAUGACUAAGAUAAAAUAAAUCAGUUAUUAGAGAUGAGUUAUUAAACUAUUAUGAUUAGAAAUGUGUUGAAACAUAUCUUCUCUCUGUUAAACAGAAUUAUACAGGAGGGCUAAUAACUCUGUCUUCAACUGUUUAUAAAACACAGAUGCCUUAAUUUGAGUUUAUUUUCUUGCUUCAAAGAAUAUUUUUAUACUUUUUUGUUUUUACAAAUGCUCAGUUUUAUGCAUUGUGUGCAUUAUUAUUAGCAGUUGCACUGCCUUAUAGCUCUUUUGUUUGUAAAUGUGAUGCUUUAUGCUGAUAUUUGUUUAAUAUGCAUAAAGAAAUUGAAACCAAAACUCCUCUAAAUGGGAGUAAAUGUUUUUUUAUAUCAGUAUUGUGAUUUAACAAUGAUCCUAUUAUUCUUAAUGAGGAUCUCAAGCCAUACAUCUGGACGACAGUCCAAAAUAAAAUAUGAUUUUAUACGAU
Molecule: long non-coding RNA, 1191 nt
Filed under: Danio rerio (zebrafish)
Lineage: Eukaryota; Metazoa; Chordata; Actinopteri; Cypriniformes; Danionidae
Description: long non-coding RNA NONDRET014630
Source: RNAcentral